This 473-nucleotide ribosomal RNA is filed under the name uncultured bacterium. RNAcentral describes it as "SSU rRNA". It matches the Rfam family "Bacterial small subunit ribosomal RNA", at positions 26 to 518 of the family's 1533-position model. The record is from RNAcentral.
AGGACGAACGCUGGCGGCGUGCUUAACACAUGCAAGUCGAGCGGAAAGGCCCUUCGGGGUACUCGAGCGGCGAACGGGUGAGUAACACGUGAGUAAUCUGCCCUUAGCUCUGGGAUAGCUCCGGGAAAACCGGGAUUAAUACCGGAUACGACUACUACGGACAUCUGUGGUGGUGGAAAGAACUUCGGCUAGGGAUGAGCUCGCGGCCUAUCAGCUUGUUGGUGGGGUAACGGCCUACCAAGGCGACGACGGGUAGCCGGCCUGAGAGGGCGACCGGCCACACUGGGACUGAGACACGGCCCAGACUCCUACGGGAGGCAGCAGUGGGGAAUAUUGCGCAAUGGGCGAAAGCCUGACGCAGCGACGCCGCGUGGGGGAUGAAGGCCUUCGGGUUGUAAACCCCUUUCAGCAGGACGAAGCGAAAGUGACGGUACCUGCAGAAGAAGCGCCGGCUACUACGCGCCAGCAGCCGC